AACAAGUAGACCUUCGCCAACACACUGCUUGAAAGACAGGAUAACUUGAUCAACAGCUACGACAAAGUACAGCUUCAAACUGUAUGUGUGCAUGCAAAUUCUCCUACCUCCAGGUCAUCCAGAGAGCGGGCCAGGCUGAGACGUUUGGAGCGUCCAAAGGAGCGUCUGGCUGAGGAGCGCUGGGGGAGAGGAGGGAAGCCCAUGGUGAGACCACGGAACCGACCACCCUGAGGAGAGAAAAUAUACACAGGUUCAGUACAUGCAGCUCUCUCCCUGUCUCCACCAAACAGCUUCUUAGCCCACUCAUCUUUGUGAGCAGCCAGCCGGUGGGUGUGGGGAUGUGCAGGAGGAGGAGGCUGGCUCCCUCCAGGUGGUGGCAGGUGGUCCCCGGGGGCCAGUG
Long non-coding RNA from Epinephelus fuscoguttatus (brown-marbled grouper), 400 nucleotides. RefSeq lists it as uncharacterized. Lineage: Eukaryota; Metazoa; Chordata; Actinopteri; Perciformes; Serranidae. The transcript is spliced from 3 exons. The record is from RefSeq and is a predicted model, not a curated record.